CUAGGAUCUGCUACUCAUUUGGGGAUGAUACAGUUGCUUUGCAAUUGUCUUGCUGGAAAAAGUAACCAUUUAGCAACUUUAAUCCCUUGUGGUGAUGGUGCUGUAUUUUGCUUUUAACCCCACUGAAUGAUAUUCUUCUCCCUUGGCAUCAGGGCUCUUGAUGAAGGCGCUGUGGCUAGAAGUGCUGUAAACUUCAGGGAAGUGAACACCUGCUGGCCCUUCCUCUCGUUUUGUGUUGGGUAUUGUCUGCCUCCUGACUUACCUGAGGGUUUCACGGAUCCAUGCACAUGGCUCUGGACCUGGAAUAGAUCUUCAGCUCAGGGAAAGCUUCAGUGGAGGAAGAAGUACAGACCGGAAUGGAAAACAGAGUACAGAUUGGCAUGAAAAUAGAGAAUCUUUAAGACCUAGACUGGGAGAGAUGAGGCACCUCUAUAUAACCCUCCUACCACAUCAAAUUCAUCUGUAAACCAACAAAAAGUAAGUGGAGAAAAAUGAUGCUCAUGUAUUAACUGUUUACUAAUUUCUGU
Molecule: long non-coding RNA, 527 nt
Filed under: Chinchilla lanigera (long-tailed chinchilla)
Lineage: Eukaryota; Metazoa; Chordata; Mammalia; Rodentia; Chinchillidae
Description: lncRNA (ENSCLAG00000024657.1)
Source: RNAcentral